RNAcentral lists this ribosomal RNA (710 nucleotides) under uncultured bacterium. RNAcentral's name for it is "bacterial SSU rRNA". It matches the Rfam family "Bacterial small subunit ribosomal RNA", at positions 94 to 801 of the family's 1533-position model. The record is from RNAcentral.
ACCGGCGCACGGGUGAGUAACGCGUAUGCAACCUACUUACAACAGGGGAAUAACCCGUUGAAAGACGGACUAAUACCCCAUAACACAGGGAUCCCGCAUGGGAAUAUUUGUUAAAGAUUUAUCGGUUGUAGAUGGGCAUGCGUUCCAUUAGCUAGUUGGUGAGGUAACGGCUCACCAAGGCAACGAUGGAUAGGGGAACUGAGAGGUUUAUCCCCCACACUGGUACUGAGACACGGACCAGACUCCUACGGGAGGCAGCAGUGAGGAAUAUUGGUCAAUGGGCGCAAGCCUGAACCAGCCACGUCGCGUGAAGGAAGACGGCCCUACGGGUUGUAAACUUCUUUUGUAAGGGAAUAAAGUGUAGUACGUGUACUAUUUUGCAUGUACCUUACGAAUAAGGAUCGGCUAACUCCGUGCCAGCAGCCGCGGUAAUACGGAGGAUCCGAGCGUUAUCCGGAUUUAUUGGGUUUAAAGGGUGCGCAGGCGGGAGAUUAAGUCGGCGGUGAAAUUUUGCAGCUCAACUGUAAAAGUGCCUUCGAAACUGGUUUCCUUGAGUGUAGAUGAAGUAGGCGGAAUUUGUGGUGUAGCGGUGAAAUGCAUAGAUAUCACGAGGAACUCCGAUUGCGCAGGCAGCUUACUAAACUACUACUGACGCUCAGGCACGAAGGCGUGGGGAUCAAACAGGAUUAGAUACCCUGGUAGUCCACGCA